RNAcentral lists this ribosomal RNA (868 nucleotides) under uncultured bacterium. Its description in RNAcentral is "bacterial SSU rRNA". It matches the Rfam family "Bacterial small subunit ribosomal RNA", at positions 97 to 998 of the family's 1533-position model. The record is from RNAcentral.
GGCGUACGGGUGAGUAACACGUGGAUCAUCUACCUUUUAGUGGGGAAUACCUCUGGGAAACUGGAGACAAUACCGCAUAAGCUCGAAAGAGGAAAGCAGCAAUGCGCUGAAAGAGGAGUCCGCGGCAGAUUAGCUAGAUGGUGAGGUAAUGGCUCACCAUGGCGAAGAUCUGUAGCCGGCCUGAGAGGGCUCACGGCCACACUGGCACUGAAACACGGGCCAGACUCCUACGGGAGGCAGCAGUGGGGAAUCUUGCACAAUGGGGGAAACCCUGAUGCAGCGACGCCGCGUGAGUGAUGAAGCCCUUCGGGGUGUAAAGCUCUUUCGACAGGAACGAUAAUGACGGUACCUGAAGAAGAAGCUGCGGCUAACUACGUGCCAGCAGCCGCGGUAAUACGUAGGCAGCAAGCGUUGUUCGGAAUUACUGGGCGUAAAGAGUGUGUAGGCGGUGCUCUAAGAUUGGUGUGAAAUCUCCCGGCUUAACCGGGAGGGUGCAUCGAAGACUGGGGUGCUCGAGGGUGGGAGAGGCAAGCGGAAUUCCUGGUGUAGCGGUGAAAUGCGUAGAUAUCAGGAGGAACACCUGUGGCGUAGACAGCUUGCUGGACCAUUUCUGACGCUGAGACACGAAAGCGUGGGUAGCAAACAGGAUUAGAUACCCUGGUAGUCCACGCCCUAAACGAUGCAUACUUGGUGUGGGCCAUUUAUUUGGUCUGUGCCGGAGCUAACGCGUUAAGUAUGCCGCCUGGGGAGUACGGUCGCAAGGCUGAAACUCAAAGGAAUUGACGGGGGCCCGCACAAGCGGUGGAGCAUGUGGUUCAAUUCGACGCAACGCGAAGAACCUUACCUGGGCUCGAACGGCUUAAGACAA